This is a long non-coding RNA of Petromyzon marinus (sea lamprey), 1765 nucleotides long. RefSeq lists it as uncharacterized. NCBI's taxonomy places the organism in Eukaryota, Metazoa, Chordata, Hyperoartia, Petromyzontiformes, Petromyzontidae. The record is from RefSeq and is a predicted model, not a curated record.
CUUCACCACCUCUUUCUUCCAAGUCCCGCGUGACAAGAUUGGCAUCAGAGUGACCCGUCUGCCAACUGGCUUCUUGGCACCACCGGCAUGAGUGCAACAUGUCAGUGCGGCGUUUUGACACCGCCGGAGUGGCCACUUGGGUCGGGCUCGCACAUGGGACACAUCGCAUCAACCACGACUGCCUGGGAUGAACUACUCGCUGCCGUGGGAAAUUGGAGGUUGCACCGUCGGCUCAGAACAACAAGUGACUACACCGCAAGCGUGCCGUAUCAGUGGUGCGGGGAAUCAAUACGCCGGGAAUGUGGCCAACAAGAGCGAUAGAAGAAUUGGUGAGAGAUGGAGAUGGAUGCUGGAAAGAGCAGCUUAUUCCCCAUGACAUCAUAAGCCCCAUUCCUUUGUUCCCCACCACUUCAUUCUCCCCAAACACCAACAACUUUUCACGCCAUCCGCACCUCGUGCCCCAGUUUAUAGUGCGGGGGGGGGGGGUAUGAAGGUUGGGGUGGAAAGGAUACUGUUGAUGAGAUGACAGCUGCGCCAGUCAAGGGGCAAGGGCGUGGGUACGGACGCCCAGCGUCAUCUUUCCGCAGGCUUCCGUGGUAGUCAUCCCCGUGUCAUCCCCUUCCCGUCAUGCCCACUGAAGCCUCCUGUCCCCAGGUUCUUUCAUCCCGUGCACUCGUGCUGCCACUAACACUGGAGGGCGGGGGGGGGGACAUGUGCAUUUUUUAUUUAAAAGCACAAUGCCCAGAUGUCUUAAGUACUACUGCGCAUUUAUAGGGGAUUUGUACACAGUUACACAACAUUCACUACAUUUUUGUAAUUUAAAUAUAAUGAAAAUAAAUCUGGUGUGCACGUGGUUUCAACAUUCUUUAUGCAGAUUUUUUUGUUUUCUACAUUAUGAUAAAGUCACACACACUCUCUGUGGUUUUCUCAUUUUUUUAUAACAUUCUAAAUCCAUAGUAAUUCCAGACAAAAUACAUGGUCCUCGGCAGUUCUUGUAAAAAUGUCAUUAAAAAUAAAUAUGCUUCUUUCGGGUAAAAUGGUGAAAAAAACCAUGUAAAAGGCUGCAUGUCAUGCUUUACGUGGUAAGUUGGGUUUUAUAAGAUGACAAAUAUCUGGCUUUCUGGCAAAGGCAGCUUUUACCAUUUGACUUCGAGGCAUCAUGUCAAACUACGCGCGGAUUUGUCUCCGAAAUGCAGAAAAAUCAUGGAUUAUAUAUAACGCAUUUACUCACUGAACAAAAACCCAUAGAUUGGAUAUGUACGUCUAAAAUCGGUGGAUGUUAUGCAUAGUUUAUCUCUAGAAUUUCUAGAGGCUUUGGUGCCAUAUAAUAGAUUAGCUGAGAAAAGUAUUCUGGUUAUGCCCAGCGAAGUAUGGAUCUUUUUAAUGUAACAUAUUAAACUUCUCUAAGUGCAAUCUUACCGGAGUAAUAGUCAUGUUCAACUGCAGAUGCAUUAAGGAAGAAGGUCGAAAGCAAUUAUAGAAGUAGUCGCUGCAUUUUAUGACAGCACUGCCAAUUUAUCAGCGCAAGCUUUAAAGAGUAACUUCAACAAACUUCCAGAUAUGUUUUUGUUCAAAUACACCGAGCAAAGUGAGAUAAUAAUAAGAGAAAGAAAAGACAAUUUCUUUCCGCGUGUAAGUUGAACCAUGGGAUGUAACGAAAGCUGACAAAGCAGAUUAGGGACGAAAACUGCUCAAUUUCUGCUGCAGUAUAUAACUGGACAAAUUCUGUGCCUCGAUUAUUAAAUAUUCCUUGCAUAUUUUGCAU